AUUGAACGCUGGCGGCAUGCUUUACACAUGCAAGUCGAACGGCAGCGCGGGCUUCGGCCUGGCGGCGAGUGGCGAACGGGUGAGUAAUACAUCGGAACGUGCCCAGUAGUGGGGGAUAGCUCGGCGAAAGCCGGAUUAAUACCGCAUACGACCUGAGGGCGAAAGCGGGGGAUCUUCGGACCUCGCGCUAUUGCAGCGGCCGAUGGCAGAUUAGCUAGUUGGUGGGGUAAAGGCCUACCAAGGCGACGAUCUGUAGCUGGUCUGAGAGGACGACCAGCCACACUGGGACUGAGACACGGCCCAGACUCCUACGGGAGGCAGCAGUGGGGAAUUUUGGACAAUGGGCGAAAGCCUGAUCCAGCAAUGCCGCGUGUGUGAUGAAGGCCUUCGGGUUGUAAAGCACUUUUGGCGGGAACGAAAAGGACUGUGCCAAUACCACGGUUCGAUGACGGUACCCGCAGAAUAAGCACCGGCUAACUACGUG
This 484-nucleotide ribosomal RNA is filed under the name uncultured bacterium. RNAcentral describes it as "partial 16S ribosomal RNA". It matches the Rfam family "Bacterial small subunit ribosomal RNA", at positions 29 to 507 of the family's 1533-position model. The record is from RNAcentral.